This 347-nucleotide unclassified non-coding RNA is filed under the name soil metagenome. Its description in RNAcentral is "partial contains 5.8S ribosomal RNA, internal transcribed spacer 2, and large subunit ribosomal RNA". The stretch from base 1 to 120 matches the Rfam family "5.8S ribosomal RNA", at positions 35 to 154 of the family's 154-position model. The record is from RNAcentral.
GAUGAAGAACGUAGCGAAAUGCGAUAGGUAAUGUGAAUUGCAGAAUUCAGUGAAUCAUCGAAUCUUUGAACGCACAUUGCGCCCCCUGGUAUUCCGGGGGGCAUGCCUGUCCGAGCGUCAUUGCUGCCCUCAAGCACGGCUUGUGUGUUGGGCUUCCGUCCCUGGCAACGGGGACGGGCCCAAAAGGCAGUGGCGGCACCAUGUCUGGUCCUCGAGCGUAUGGGGCUUUGUCACCCGCUCCCGUAGGUCCAGCUGGCAGCUAGCCUCGCAACCAAUCUUUUUAACCAGGUUGACCUCGGAUCAGGUAGGGAUACCCGCUGAACUUAAGCAUAUCAAUAAGCGGAGGA